ACAAAUUAAAAAGAAAAAGCUAUCAUUUUUCUCUUCUCCUCCACCAAAAAUGGCAGAAAAGAAAGGGGUUUUGAAGCUCUGAAAUAUCAGCCACUUACAUCCCUUGCUAGUAAGUGAUUUUUAAUGUCUUUCUUGAUGAUUUUUACAUUUUUGGAACCCCUAAAGCAUGAGCUUUCAUAUGAGGGGUCUAUUUUGCAAAAUGAUGAAGAGUCUAGGGUUUUGCCAUGAGAUUAAAUGUGUUGUUUGCUGUGUUUUUAUGGAAGAUUAUGAGUCCUAGUUGUCUAAUAAACAACUUUUGUGAAAGAAAUUGCAUGAAAACACCUUAAAAAGGGUUAGAUUGCUAAGUUGUAAAAUGAGUUGUAAAUGUGUGAAAUAGUUGAAAUUAUGAGUUUCUAUAGUUAUGAAAAUGGUUCAUCUAGACUCAAGGAGUAAAGAAAUGUGAUAAAAAUUAUUUUACGAGCCUAGGGGUAAUUUGGUAAUUUUGGAAAAAUAUAGGGGUAAAAUUGUAAAAAUUGCUCAAGUGUGUCAAUGGACUAAUUUGAUCAGUACAUUGUUUUAAUAAGUUGAAUGUGAUAUUUUAGAUGAUGAAAAUCGAGAUUUGGACCUAGAACGAAAAGAAAUCGAUUAAGGGAUAAUUACGUCUUUUUUUACCUUGUGGUAUCGAGGUAAGUUCAUAUGUAAAUGUUGGUAACAUAGUUAUUAUUUUAAAUGCUUUGAUGUUAUUUAAAUGAUAUGAUAAUUAUUAUGAGAUAUUAUACUUGUGAUAAUUGUUUGAUAAUAUGUCAAAUUAUAUGAUAUACUUGAAAAAUGUGAAAUACUACCGAGUAUUGGUAUCGGCAUUCCGUAGAAGAUGGUUGAGACACAUGAUUGGGAAAAAGGUCCCGUUGAACCUUAGGAAUAGAUUAGGAUACAAGUGACAUGUCACUGGAAUAUUUGGGCAUCCGAGCUCGUUGAGUUGAGUCCGAGUUCGUGAGAUGUAACUAGGCAUCCGAGCUCGUUGAGUUGAGUCCGAGUUCACUUAUGGAUGUGAACACCCGAGCUCGUUGAGUUGAGUCCGAGUUCACUUAUGGGCGGGUUACAUGGUAGCUUGGCUACAUAUGUGGCACUUAUGUGCAAACUUUCCAUGUAUCCAAAUUAUAUUCCGAUGUGUUCAAUGGGUAAAAUUCUACUCAAAUGGAGGAAUACUCGAGAUGAAAGGGACGUAUUGAUAAAUGUUGUGAAAUGGAUACUUUGAACAGGUAUGUACUUAACCCUCGGGUUGAAAACUCGGCAUAACAACAUGGUAAGAUGGUAAAUGAAAAUGUGAUAUGAAUGUCUCGGUGAUGAUUAUACAAAUGAUGUUGUAUUAAUUUUGUGAACAAUGAUCAUGAAUGAGUAAUUUAGCCUUGACAGAUUUGAGUUACUGCAGUAGUGUAACUUUGAAAAUACACUAAAAAUAGUGGAAAAUGAGUUAGAGGCAGAAUAAAAUAUGGGAUUAAAGCUUAAUACGUCUAUUUUCACAUGAAAGAAACAGAGGAAGAAAAAUAAUUCCAUAUUGUGUGAUAUUUGAAUUCUUGUGAAACAGGGUCUGAAUGAAUUCGAGAUCCCCUGUUCUGACUUUAUAAAUUCACCAAAAAUUGUACAAAAAUUAUUAAGAGUAAUAAGUUACAUGCAUGGAUUCCUUAUUGAGUCUAUUUUUAGGGGAAAUAAACGGAAUGGUUUUUGGAAUUCUGUACAGGGAGAAAUUCGGUUCGUAGUGCACAGGGGUAGGAGUGGUCAUACCCUGAAACAGGGGAGACUUUAACUAAUAAACUGUACUAAUUGGCCCAACCAAAAAUUCUAGAAAAAAAUUAGUAAAUAGAAAUAUGAGUCUAGUUUCAAGAGAAAUAGACGAGAACAUUAUUCGAGUCUUGUACUAUGAGAUAAUUGAACUUUAGUACAGAAGGGUCGGAACUAUCAGAUAGUGAAUCAGGGGUAACUUUGAGGAAUAAACUGUACUAUUUGGCUUAACUAAAAAUUCUGGAAAUUUUUUGGAAGAAAGGAAAAUAAGUAUAGUUUCAUGGAAAAUUAACGGAACUUAAUUCGGAGUUUCGUAGCUCCAGAUAUAAAUAAUUUAGUGACUAUUGCUCAGAAAGACAGCUUGUAGUGAACUUGAGAAUAUGUUAUAAACAUUGAUAAAACAAGUUAAUGAAUUGCUUAUUGUUUUCAUAUGAACUUACUAAGCGACAGCUUACCCCCCUUCUUUCCCAUAUUUCCUAGGGUUGCCAGGUUAGCUCGGGUUAGAGUUCGUCGGAGAUAUUAUCACACUGUCAAGCUAACGCUAUUGGUGUAGUGAUUUCAAGUACUUUGAGUCUAUGGCAUGUAUAGGAGUUUAAAUAUUAGAGUAUGUGAUAUGGCUUUGACCAUAUAUGUAGGCCUAUUUUGAUUAUGGGAUUGUAAAUUCAUUUUAAUUAUACAUGCAUGUGCUAUGGUAUUACGUGAUGAGUUUAUAAUGAUUAUAGCAUGAAUGUGGUAAAGAUGUGAGAAAAAUCUAUGAUAUCUAUUGCAUGUGAAAUUACCAUGGUCAUGUCAUGUUAGGAAUGUUUAAGUGCCUAAUUUUUCCAUGUUGUAUGCUAUUGUAUAAGUAUGUGUGCAUGUGUUGUGAGGGUGACAAAAUGGCUUGAAAAAUAGCCUUGUAUUUAUCCAGGUUUUUGGACAUGGGUUCGGGACACGGGCGUGUCCCUAGCACACGGAGGUGUGCUCUAUUCCCGCACGGGCAUGUCAAAAAUAUUAGAUUAAAUCAAAACUUGUUACGUGUCAUCAUUUGAUUAGCCCAUCAAUUUAUUUUAAUUGUUAACGUGGUCAAUGACGGAAACCGCUAACGGAG
Molecule: long non-coding RNA, 2845 nt
Filed under: Gossypium barbadense (sea-island cotton)
Lineage: Eukaryota; Viridiplantae; Streptophyta; Magnoliopsida; Malvales; Malvaceae
Description: long non-coding RNA (GBAR_LNC011183)
Source: RNAcentral